GCUGGUGUGGCUCAGUCGGUAGAGCAGUUCACUCGUAAUGAACAGGUCAAGAGUUCGAUUCUCUUCACCAGCUCCA
This 76-nucleotide transfer RNA is filed under the name Clostridiaceae bacterium. Its description in RNAcentral is "tRNA-Thr". It matches the Rfam family "tRNA". Rfam says of the family: Transfer RNA (tRNA) molecules are approximately 80 nucleotides in length. Their secondary structure includes four short double-helical elements and three loops (D, anti-codon, and T loops). Lineage: Bacteria; Bacillati; Bacillota; Clostridia; Eubacteriales; Clostridiaceae. The record is from RNAcentral.